This 301-nucleotide ribosomal RNA is filed under the name uncultured bacterium. RNAcentral describes it as "partial 16S ribosomal RNA". It matches the Rfam family "Bacterial small subunit ribosomal RNA", at positions 509 to 809 of the family's 1533-position model. The record is from RNAcentral.
CAGUAGCCGCGGGAAUACGAAGGGGGCUAGCGUUGUUCGGAUUUACUGGGCGUAAAGCGCACGUAGGCGGAUCGAUCAGUCAGGGGUGAAAUCCCAGAGCUCAACUCUGGAACUGCCUUUGAUACUGUCGAUCUGGAGUAUGGAAGAGGUGAGUGGAAUUCCGAGUGUAGAGGUGAAAUUCGUAGAUAUUCGGAGGAACACCAGUGGCGAAGGCGGCUCACUGGUCCAUUACUGACGCUGAGGUGCGAAAGCGUGGGGAGCAAACAGGAUUAGAUACCCCCGUAGUCCUGUCUCUUAUCAC